UUUUUUUUUGUCUGCUAGAGAAGACGAACAGCUCUUCGUGAAGAUAAACAGCUCUUCAACAAGUAGUAAUUUAAUGGGGGAUUCACAACAAGGAAAUAACAAAGGAAAGGGCAAAGAGAAAGAGAACUAUGAAUCUUGGACCAUGGACGAUACCAAUGAGUUGUUGCAUUCAAUACCAAAUUUGGAUGACAAUACUUGUUUCAUGGCGGGUGAAUUGCUUAGUAAUAAAGCAAAGAAAGACUUGUUCUUGAAGAUGUCAUUAGAAGAGCGCUCAUCUUGGAUAAAAUUCAAGUUAGGAUGAUUUUAGUAUUUUGAUCAUAUUGGGUUUUGUUGAACUAUAUUUUUGUUUGUGCUAUUUUGCUUCUACUUUGGUUGAACUAUUUCGUACUUUGGUUAAACUAUUUGGGUACUUUGGUUGAACUAUUUGGGUUAUAAUUUGGUUGAACCAUUGUUAUUGUAAUUUGGUUGAACUAUUGUUAUUGUAAUUUGGUUAAACUAUUUUCACAGCUUUUACUUUUUUAUUUGGUUAAACUAUUUGGACAGCUUUUACUU
This is a long non-coding RNA of Prunus avium (sweet cherry), 552 nucleotides long. RefSeq lists it as uncharacterized. The record is from RefSeq and is a predicted model, not a curated record. Lineage: Eukaryota; Viridiplantae; Streptophyta; Magnoliopsida; Rosales; Rosaceae.